RNAcentral lists this long non-coding RNA (1371 nucleotides) under Strigops habroptila (Kakapo). RNAcentral's name for it is "lncRNA (ENSSHBG00005016350.1)". The record is from RNAcentral. Lineage: Eukaryota; Metazoa; Chordata; Aves; Psittaciformes; Psittacidae.
GCGCCCGGGCAGGAAGCGGCUCUGCGCGGCCUCUCCCGCCGGCGCGGCGCGGGGCGGGGUUCGGCCCGGGGCCUCCGGCCGCAGGAAACGGAGGCGGCGGUGGGUACCCGCGGCCCCGCGCAGUGCCGCGCCUCCUCCGCCCUGCCCGCGGCCAGAGAGCGGCUGCCGGCGCACCCCGCCCCGGGACCGCGGCGGCGCCACGCGGUGAUUGGGGCGGCCUCCUGUGGGGAAUGGCGGCUUCCGGCCUCGCUCCGCUCGCAGGUCACGUAACGGCGGUGGUGCGGGCGGUAACGCGCCCCCGGAGCCGCGCCAGGCCUCGGCCGCGGAGACCUUCUCUGGUGGGAAGGAGACGCGGCCCGGCCUCCUGCCCUGCUCCUCAUGGCUGUGCGGCCCUGCAGGACCCGCCACCGUGUGCCUCGGGCGUGGAACGAGCAGGGCGCAGGCCCGUGAGUCCCUUUGUUCCCGGCUCCAGGACUGGGUGAGGAGCGACACUGGACACGCUGAAGGAUUAUGAUAAUCCUGUUCUUCCUUCAGUGUCCCGUACCAUGGCAGGUGAUGACCACUGAGCCAUGUUCUGCUGAGCCGGCUGCUCCACACUCACCCUUCAGGCCUGCGUUCUCCAGCAGAUUCAUCAAGCUGAUACCUACUCGAAGAGUGCGGCACUUGGUUUUGGGCAAAUAAAGGUAAAACAUGUUCCAGUGGGUGGAAGUUGGACCCUGAAUCAAGGCAUACAUUUUUAAGCAAGGAGUGAAGCUUUUUCACCACUGCAGUCCCUGGCAGAGGAGCUGUGCGCUUCAUCUGCUGUUCUCUGAUACAGUCUUGCCACUGUCAGCAGGGCUCACAGGGCCACCUCCUGCCCUCUGCGCUGGUGGUUGUUGCUGGCGGAGUCACCCGUUUCUGGUGGACACUAGCUGUUGUGACUGAAAGCCAGUGCAGCUGCAGGCUGUGGCCUUAGAGGGGGUCUGGCACACUGACCAGGACAACCCUGUGUGCCCUGGAAAUCUCUGAAUUCUGGUAGACUAAGAAAUGACCCUGUACUUGCCUAGCUCAGGAUCACCAGACCGGUCUUCUUUUGAGGCUUGUGAAACACAUACCCCAGAGAAGGCAGUAAUGAUCACCAUGUAAUGCAUGUUCAGCUCCUGGUUUUAUGGUUUCUGCAAAGCCUGUUUUGGGGACAUGUUUUUAAGCUAUUUGGGGAAGAACAGAUGAGCUUUUGGCACACAGUUCUACAUCAAAUCUCAGUUGCCAGGCUGAGUUUAUUGGUAGAGACCUUGUAUAUUGCACAGGCUGCUGCCUGUGCCCGACCAUCCUCUAGAAUGGAAACUUGAACCAAUGAUUUUCAUAAUGAAUGUGCAAUAAAUCUGUGAAAAA